AGAGUUUGAUUAUGGCUCAGAACGAACGCUGGCGGCGCGUUUUAAGCAUGCAAGUCGAGCGGCAAGGGCCUUCGGGCCCCUAGGGCGGCGGACGGGUGAGUAACACGUGGACAAUCUGCCCCCCGGCCGGGGAUAGCCCAGGGAAACCUGGAUUAAUACCGGAUGAGACGGGACCCGCGGAGGCGGGAUCCGGGAAAGGCGCUGCGGCGCCGCCGGGGGAUGAGUCUGCGUCCCAUUAGCUUGACGGCGGGGUAACGGCCCACCGUGGCGACGAUGGGUAGCCGGCCUGAGAGGGUGGACGGCCACAUUGGAACUGAGACACGGUCCAGACUCCUACGGGAGGCAGCAGCUAAGAAUCUUCCGCAAUGGGCGAAAGCCUGACGGAGCGACGCCGCGUGAACGAAGAAGGCCGUGAGGUUGUAAAGUUCUUUUCGGGAGGGGGAACAACCGUGGCAGGGAAUGGCCGCGGGAUGACGUGAAUCCCGGAAUAAGCCCCGGCUAACUACGUGCCAGCAGCCGCGGUAACACGUAGGGGGCGAGCGUUGUUCGGAAUCAUUGGGCGUAAAGGGCGUGCAGGCGGUCCUGCAAGUCCGGCGUGAAAGACCCCGGCCCAACCGGGGGGGAGCGCUGGAAACUGCAGGGCUUGAGUACAGGAGGGGAUGCCGGAAUUCCAGGUGUAGGGGUGAAAUCUGUAGAUAUCUGGAGGAACACCAAUGGCGAAGGCGGGCAUCUGGCCAUGUACUGACGCUGAGACGCGAAGGUGCGGGGAGCAAACAGGAUUAGAUACCCUGGUAGUC
This 797-nucleotide ribosomal RNA is filed under the name uncultured Sphaerochaeta sp. Its description in RNAcentral is "bacterial SSU rRNA". It matches the Rfam family "Bacterial small subunit ribosomal RNA", at positions 8 to 795 of the family's 1533-position model. Lineage: Bacteria; Pseudomonadati; Spirochaetota; Spirochaetia; Spirochaetales; Sphaerochaetaceae. The record is from RNAcentral.